UACGUAGGGUGCGAGCGUUGUCCGGAAUCACUGGGCGUAAAGCGCACGUAGGCGGCUUUCUAAGUCAGGGGUGAAAUCCUGGAGCUCAACUCCAGAACUGCCUUUGAUACUGGAGAGCUCGAGUCCGGGAGAGGUGAGUGGAACUGCGAGUGUAGAGGUGAAAUUCGUAGAUAUUCGCAAGAACACCAGUGGCGAAGGCGGCUCACUGGCCCGAUACUGACGCUGAGGCACGAAAGCGUGGGGAGCAAACAGG
Molecule: ribosomal RNA, 253 nt
Filed under: uncultured bacterium
Lineage: Bacteria
Description: partial 16S ribosomal RNA
Rfam family: Bacterial small subunit ribosomal RNA
Source: RNAcentral